GCAUAAGCGCACAGCUUCGCAUGAAGCAGUGUGAAAAACUCUGGUGGUAUACGAUGGAUCCGCGUCUGAUUAGCUAGUUGGCGGGGUAAAGGCCCACCAAGGCGACGAUCAGUAGCCGGCCUGGGAGGGUGAACGGCCACAUUGGGACUGAGACACGGCCCAAACUCCUACGGGAGGCAGCAGUGGGGAAUAUUGCACAAUGGGGGAAACCCUGAUGCAGCGACGCCGCGUGAGUGAAGAAGUAUUUCGGUAUGUAAAGCUCUAUCAGCAGGGAAGAAAGAAAUGACGGUACCUGACUAAGAAGCCCCGGCUAACUACGUGCCAGCAGCCGCGGUAAUACGUAGGGGGCAAGCGUUAUCCGGAUUUACUGGGUGUAAAGGGAGCGUAGACGGUUAUGCAAGUCUGGAGUGAAAGGCGGGGGCCCAACCCCCGGACUGCUUUGGAAACUGUGUAACUGGAGUGCAGGAGAGGUAAGUGGAAUUCCUAGUGUAGCGGUGAAAUGCGUAGAUAUUAGGAGGAACACCAGUGGCGAAGGCGGCUUACUGGACUGUAACUGACGUUGAGGCUCGAAAGCGUGGGGAGCAAACAGGAUUAGAUACCCUGGUAGUCCACGCCGUAAACGAUGAUCACUAGGUGU
Molecule: ribosomal RNA, 637 nt
Filed under: uncultured bacterium
Lineage: Bacteria
Description: bacterial SSU rRNA
Rfam family: Bacterial small subunit ribosomal RNA
Source: RNAcentral